AUCACAUGGCUUCUUUUGAAAAAUAGAUUUUUAUAUUUAUGUGGACGGUCUAUGGAAAACACUUAGUUUUUAAUAUGAAAAAUAGAUAAUUAAUUAUACAAUGAUAAAUUCUUAUAAAUUUAACAAUUUCAUAAAAAAAAACUAAUGCAAUGUUUACAAUUAAAAGAUAAUUAUUUUACAUUCUUUUGGAUUCCUAUUAUUGAUAGAUUAAUUUAUACCAACUUUAUUUUGACUAAUGUAGUAUUUACAUUUUCUAUAUUGUAUAUUACUUUUUAAUGUAGUAUUUUCAUUUUUAAAUUGUGUACUUAAUUAUUAUUAAUUAUUGUAUAUUAUAUAUUUACAUAUUUAAAUGCAUAUUUAAAUGUAAUUAAUUUUUACAUUUUAAGAUAUAUGUGUAAUGUUGUAUUUCUAUUUUUUAUUUUUUAUUUACAUUUUAAGAUAGAUGUUUAAUGCUUAAUGUACUUUUUUAUUUUUUAUAUUAUGUAUUUACUUAUCGAUAUUAUUUUCGUAUAUUAUAUAUUUACAUAAUAUAUAUAUAUUUUACAUUUUAAGAUAAAUGUUUAAGGCUUAAUGUACUUUUUCUAUUUUUUUAAAUUUUAUAUUUACAUUUUAUGAUAAAUUUUUAAUGCUUAAUGUACUUUUUAUAUUUUUU
RNAcentral lists this long non-coding RNA (652 nucleotides) under Brassica rapa (field mustard). RNAcentral's name for it is "long non-coding RNA (BRAP_LNC004153)". Lineage: Eukaryota; Viridiplantae; Streptophyta; Magnoliopsida; Brassicales; Brassicaceae. The record is from RNAcentral.